RNAcentral lists this long non-coding RNA (271 nucleotides) under Elaeis guineensis (African oil palm). Its description in RNAcentral is "long non-coding RNA (EGUI_LNC020887)". The record is from RNAcentral. Lineage: Eukaryota; Viridiplantae; Streptophyta; Magnoliopsida; Arecales; Arecaceae.
UGAUUCGAAGAUCCUCGAGCCCCAUAUGUAUCCGGUCUCUACAGAUAAUCAUCGAGAUUAAUCUUGAAUCUUUUUUUCAUCAUAGAUCCUUCUUCUCUAAGUAGGAUCUUAGCCUUUAGAAUCUCGAUCAACUCCUUGAUCUAGACUGUGGAAUCAACUCUUUAGUCUGCAGUCUUCUUCUCCUCGUUUCUCACUAUAGAAGAAGAUCUCUUUAACCUUGGAGUGUAGAAAAAUGGGACACCCAACCUUUGGACGUGGAAAGGGAAGAAAG